CAUCUCAAACAAAAUUUGGAUAAGAUAAUACAAAUUUAUCAAUAACAUAAGCAAAUAAAGAUACUUAUCUCAUUGCCUAAUCUCUAUCCUUCUCUCAAACUUUCUAACGAACCUAAGAAUCUUAACAGUUAAGCUCCAUACGACUAUUUCAAUCACGAUCCCUAGUAAUCUUAACUUAAACUUUGAUACCACCAAAUCUAUCACGCCACGAUCCCGAAGGGCUAUAGAUGUUGCAUACCUAUAUGGUGGGCCAUCCAGGCAUGCAAGGCUAUAGAUCAUAUCAAAGUAAAUUCUAAAAAUUUAUUUAAUCAAUAAUUUAUUCAAAUUAUUUUGACAAUAGUUUCAAUAUAAUAUGUGCUAACAUAAAUCAAAUAUUCUAACUAGUCUAACUAAAAUGCUAAUAAUUGAAAGAAUUUUCAGAAAAUCUAGAGCACUCUUCAGUCCUAUGCGAUCAUGUAUCUUGAUCUAAAAAUAGAGAAAAUAUGAUGAUGAGCUACACUAGCCUACUAAGCAACAUAAUACCCCAAAGUGGGGUUAUUUUCCUUUUUCAGCCACCGAUAUUACCGCUUCUGAUGCUGGACCCUUGAUCUGCUCCUCUAGCUCUCACCUAUCCUUCUCAGCAAAGCAAUGGCCACCAAUGAGCGGCCAACAACCAAAAAUAAUGAAGAACCUCCAAUUUUCUAUUUUUGUUGAUAUUGGCACUACCGACCGCCAGGCACCGCCGACCGCCUGUUGGUUAGCCAUGAGUCCCUCAACUCGAGGCACCACCACAACCACCCUUUCUCUC
RNAcentral lists this long non-coding RNA (787 nucleotides) under Phoenix dactylifera (date palm). RNAcentral's name for it is "long non-coding RNA (PDAC_LNC009526)". The record is from RNAcentral. Lineage: Eukaryota; Viridiplantae; Streptophyta; Magnoliopsida; Arecales; Arecaceae.